GUGGCAGGCGAUCGCUGGCUGGAAAUUCUUCUCGCCAGAGGAAAGUCCGAACACCGCAGGGUGGCAUGCCUUGUGAAAACAAGGGUACUUGGGGUGCAAAUCCCGAGUAACGGAAAGUGUCACAGAAAACAAACCGCCCGCCCAUUAGUUGGCAGUGGUGAGCGUCAGUGGCAGGUGACGCAGAAAGGAAAACAGAGCAAAACUGACAACUGAUACUGGCCAUUGGCAACUAAUGGUGCUGGGUAAGGGUGAAAAGGCGGGGUAAGAGCCCACCGGAUUCUCGCGUAAGCGGGAUCGCACGAAAAACCCCAUGUGGUGCAAGACAAAGCAGAGGGAAGAGUUGCCCGCUCGUUCUUCCGUGAAGUCGGUAAGAAUCCCUCGGGUAAUAGUCGCACCCGGCGCCCUUGAAGCCGGGCAUUCAGGAGACUGAGUGAGAUAAAUGAUCGUCACUGCGCGAAAACGCAGACAGAAUUCGGCUUACGCCAUGCAA
This 490-nucleotide RNase P RNA is filed under the name Verrucomicrobiota bacterium. Its description in RNAcentral is "Verrucomicrobia bacterium (rhizosphere metagenome) RNase P RNA component class A". It matches the Rfam family "Bacterial RNase P class A". From Rfam's summary of the family: Ribonuclease P (RNase P) is a ubiquitous endoribonuclease, found in archaea, bacteria and eukarya as well as chloroplasts and mitochondria. Its best characterised activity is the generation of mature 5'-ends of tRNAs by cleaving the 5'-leader elements of precursor-tRNAs. Cellular RNase Ps are ribonucleoproteins. Lineage: Bacteria; Pseudomonadati; Verrucomicrobiota. The record is from RNAcentral.